GACGAACGCUGGCGGCGUGCUUAACACAUGCAAGUCGAACGGAAAGGCUCCAGCUUGCUGGAGUACUCGAGUGGCGAACGGGUGAGUAACACGUGGGUAAUCUGCCCUGCACUCUGGGAUAAGCCUGGGAAACUGGGUCUAAUACUGGAUAUAACCUUUCUCCUUAUGGGGUUUGGUGGAAAGUUUUUCGGUGUAGGAUGAGCCCGCGGCCUAUCAGCUUGUUGGUGGGGUGAUGGCCUACCAAGGCGACGACGGGUAGCCGGCCUGAGAGGGUGAUCGGCCACAUUGGGACUGAGAUACGGCCCAGACUCCUACGGGAGGCAGCAGUGGGGAAUAUUGCACAAUGGGCGGAAGCCUGAUGCAGCGACGCCGCGUGAGGGAUGACGGCCUUCGGGUUGUAAACCUCUUUCAGCAGGGACGAAGCGUAAGUGACGGUACCUGCAGAAGAAGCACCGGCUAACUAUGUG
This 467-nucleotide ribosomal RNA is filed under the name uncultured bacterium. RNAcentral describes it as "partial 16S ribosomal RNA". It matches the Rfam family "Bacterial small subunit ribosomal RNA", at positions 28 to 507 of the family's 1533-position model. The record is from RNAcentral.